CCUACGGGAGGCAGCAGUAAGGAAUCUUCCACAAUGGACGAAAGUCUGAUGGAGCAACGCCGCGUGCAGGAUGAAGGCUUUCGGGUCGUAAACUGCUUUUAUAUGGGAAGAUUAUGACGGUACCAUAUGAAUAAGGACCGGCUAACUACGUGCCAGCAGCCGCGGUAAUACGUAGGGUCCAAGCGAUAUCCGGAAUUACUGGGCGUAAAGCGUGUGUAGGUGGAUUAAUAAGUGUGAUGCGAAAUCCGGCGGCUCAACCGUUUGGACUGUGUCGCAUACUGUUAGUCUAGAGGACGGCAGAGGUAAGUGGAAUUACGGGUGUAGCAGUGAAAUGCGUAGAUAUCCGUAGGAACACCAAUGGCGAAGGCAGCUUACUGGGCCACACCUGACACUGAGACACGAAAGCGUGGGGAGCGAACAGGAUUAGAUACCCUGGUAGUCCACGCCGUAAACGAUGCAUACUAUUAGUAUGGGGUAUCGACCCCUGUGCUGAGAAGCUAACGCGAUAAGUAUGCCGCCUGGGGAGUACGAGCGCAAGCUUAAAACUCAAAUGAAUUGACGG
Molecule: ribosomal RNA, 562 nt
Filed under: uncultured bacterium
Lineage: Bacteria
Description: bacterial SSU rRNA
Rfam family: Bacterial small subunit ribosomal RNA
Source: RNAcentral